UAUCUCGGCUCUCGCAUCGAUGAAGAACGUAGCGAAAUGCGAUACUUGGUGUGAAUUGCAGAAUCCCGUGAACCAUCGAGUCUUUGAACGCAAGUUGCGCCCGAAGCCAUUCGGCCGAGGGCACGUCUGCCUGGGCGUCACGCAU
This 145-nucleotide ribosomal RNA is filed under the name Pedicularis verticillata. Its description in RNAcentral is "5.8S ribosomal RNA". It matches the Rfam family "5.8S ribosomal RNA", at positions 17 to 154 of the family's 154-position model. From Rfam's summary of the family: 5.8S ribosomal RNA (5.8S rRNA) is a component of the large subunit of the eukaryotic ribosome. It is transcribed by RNA polymerase I as part of the 45S precursor that also contains 18S and 28S rRNA. Functionally, it is thought that 5.8S rRNA may be involved in ribosome translocation. Lineage: Eukaryota; Viridiplantae; Streptophyta; Magnoliopsida; Lamiales; Orobanchaceae. The record is from RNAcentral.